Molecule: RNA transcript, 1846 nt
Organism: Labeo rohita (rohu)
Lineage: Eukaryota; Metazoa; Chordata; Actinopteri; Cypriniformes; Cyprinidae
Gene name: protein shisa-5-like
Exons: 5
Source: RefSeq, a predicted model, not a curated record
AUUUCGCGGUGGCUUCACUUGUUAUGAUGUCUUGAGCAAUUCAGUUUUUUAUUAGUAGUUGUAGCCAUUGCAGCGUGGAUGUCGUCUCAGCUGUUACUGCGGGAGAAUGUGUUUGCGUGAACGCGCAUUGUGCCUGAUCUUAGUUUUAGCUGGUGGAACAGGUGUAUUUAUUUAUCGUAAAGUUGGACGUUGCAAAGCCCAGUGUAGGGCUUACACCCAGCCCCUAAGCAGCAGGAAAAAACACCAUGACAUCAUGUCCCCUCCCCACUGAAAGUGAAGCGCUCCAGUAACCCGGUUCCUCUCCUAGCUGUCAACAGGAUUAUUCACGACGGUAGUAGUUUCUUGCAUAGGAGGGGCACUACAGCCACUUGUUAAGAAAUACUUAUCAUCAGGAAAUACGCCAUAAGCACGAAACGAGCUACUGAAGUGGAUGAGCUGUGCUACGUCUACAACAAUACGGAUCUUCUGCUCUUUCCUAAAGUUCUACUUACAGUGACAGUAGAAACAAAACCUUAAAAUAUUGAAUUUUCCCCAUCCAAUGGAAGGCCCAUCCAUUGUGCCCAUGGUUGUGCCCCCGAUAGUGUUUUUCGCAGUGUUUGUUUCUGUGUCCAUCAUCUGGUUCUGCCUGCUGAAAAAACAUAUGAGACACACGCAGCAAGCUGUGCAGUCAAGAACUACAGUCAUGACUACACAUCACCCACAGUACUCACAUCACCAACCUAUGGCUACUUAUCUACAGCCAGCUUAUGGAGGGCAACCCAUUCUGCCUGGACCAUGUCAACAAAUGUAUGCACCGGGAUCACCACCCACAUAUCAGGAGGCUGCAGGACAGUUUCCUGGUCCUUACAGCCAGGUUGCAUAUGAUGGUGGUCAGAACAUGUACCCUCUACAACCACUGGUUCAACCAGCACUUCCCACAAACUACACCUCACCUCAACCCCCGUACAACCCUGGUUAUGUGGAAUGAUCAAAGACCAGUUAACCACCCAAAAAAUGGCCAGUUAUCGAUGCAGGAUCAUGGAGAAUUGUUCGUUUCCACACUGCUUUGCGUUUGUGAUUUGUGCAUCUACUACAGACUCUGAUAACACUGAGCAUAAUAGUAUUACUGUCGUUCGUGUAUGUUUGUCAUUUCUAAGUUUAUACUUUGCUUUGUAAACUUGUUUUUUUAAUUUAAUCCAGCCAUGAGCCAGUGUUUCUCUUCAUUUUUACCUCUGUUCAAAAGAUGAUGUAUCAUCUCUAUGUGUCAAAACAAUCCUUUGUAUAAUUUUAUUGUAGUUUUUGAAAAGUAGUUUUCUAUUAAACAAAUCAACCAGUCGUUGAGCUGACUUCUGGCUUUCCAAACUUACAUAUUGGGAAAAUGAGUAUCUUGGACUGGACAGAUUCAGGUUUCCUUGAUGUCCAGAAAUCCCAAAUUUUUAGUCAAACUGCUACCAAAGAUAAUGGCCUCCAGAUUUACUCAAACAUGCAGGAUAUGUCUGUUGUUAAGAAAUGGACCAAUUCCCAAUCUGGAUGGGAUUCUAGACAUAUGCUUUUCAAAGUUCACCAGGAUUUUGAGAGAAGAACAAUAGACAAAAUGAUCCAAAAUUUGUACCGUCACUGUCAUGUUUUAAGACUGUAAACUUGUGUUUGUUUGUGAUUCAUUUCAUACAAAUGAUUGCUGCAAGAGUUGAACAAGAAACUUUUUUUGGUUAAAGUUUACUUGUUCUUCACAAUUGUCUUGAAGAUUGUUUUUGUUGCUAGGGAAUAGGCCAGUGAGUUUUCUGUUUCUUUGGACAUGUAUCUGUGUAUUAUCUGAUGUCUGUCAGAUUUAGACAUUGAUAUAAAUAUUUGGAAUUACACUGGUGGU